GAUGAACGCUGGCGGCGUGCCUAAUACAUGCAAGUCGAGCGAACAGACGAGGAGCUUGCUCCUCUGACGUUAGCGGCGGACGGGUGAGUCACACGUGGAUAACCUCCCUAUAAGACUGGGAUAACUUCGGGAAACCGGAUCUAAUACCGGAUAAUAUCUUGAACCGCAUGGUCCAAUAGUGAAAUACGGUUUUGCUGUCACUUAUAGCUGGAUCCGCGCCGCAUUAGCUAGUUGGUAAGGUCACGGCUUACCAAGGCAACGAUGCGUAGCCGAACUGAGAGGGUGAUCGGCCACACUGGAACUGAGACACGGUCCAUACUCCUACGGGAGGCAGCAGUAGGGAAUCGUCCGCAAUGGGCGAAAGCUUUACGGAGCAACGCCGCGUGAGUGAUGAAGAUCUUCGGAUCGUAAAACUCUGUUAUUAGUGAAGAACAAAUGUGUAAGGAACUAUGCACGGCGUGACGGUACCUAAUCAGAAAGCCACGGCUAACUACGUG
RNAcentral lists this ribosomal RNA (497 nucleotides) under uncultured bacterium. RNAcentral describes it as "partial 16S ribosomal RNA". It matches the Rfam family "Bacterial small subunit ribosomal RNA", at positions 28 to 507 of the family's 1533-position model. The record is from RNAcentral.